This 484-nucleotide ribosomal RNA is filed under the name uncultured bacterium. RNAcentral describes it as "bacterial SSU rRNA". It matches the Rfam family "Bacterial small subunit ribosomal RNA", at positions 15 to 507 of the family's 1533-position model. The record is from RNAcentral.
GAUCAUGGCUCAGGACGAACGCUGGCGGCGUGCCUAACACAUGCAAGUCGAGCGGGGUCCAUCCGGUAGCAAUACUGGGGAAGACCUAGCGGCGAACGGGUGAGUAACACGUGAGAAACCUGCCCCGAAGUCUGGGAUAACCCGAGGAAACUCGAGCUAAUACCGGAUGCCUUCUUCUGAUCGCAUGGUCGGAUGAAGAAAGAUUUAUCGCUUCGGGAGGGUCUCGCGGCCUAUCAGCUAGUUGGCGGGGUAACGGGCCCACCAAGGCGUCGACGGGUAGCUGGUCUGAGAGGACGAUCAGCCACACUGGGACUGAGACACGGCCCAGACUCCUACGGGAGGCAGCAGUGGGGAAUAUUGCGCAAUGGGCGAAAGCCUGACGCAGCAACGCCGCGUGCGGGAUGAAGGCCUUCGGGUUGUAAACCGCUUUCAGUGGGGACGAAUUCAGACGGUACCCACAGAAGAAGCCCCGGCCAACUACGUG